This 805-nucleotide ribosomal RNA is filed under the name Streptomyces variabilis. RNAcentral's name for it is "bacterial SSU rRNA". It matches the Rfam family "Bacterial small subunit ribosomal RNA", at positions 87 to 903 of the family's 1533-position model. The record is from RNAcentral. Lineage: Bacteria; Bacillati; Actinomycetota; Actinomycetes; Kitasatosporales; Streptomycetaceae.
GGGGAUUAGUGGCGAACGGGUGAGUAACACGUGGGCAAUCUGCCCUGCACUCUGGGACAAGCCCUGGAAACGGGGUCUAAUACCGGAUACUGACCCGCUUGGGCAUCCAAGCGGUUCGAAAGCUCCGGCGGUGCAGGAUGAGCCCGCGGCCUAUCAGCUUGUUGGUGAGGUAAUGGCUCACCAAGGCGACGACGGGUAGCCGGCCUGAGAGGGCGACCGGCCACACUGGGACUGAGACACGGCCCAGACUCCUACGGGAGGCAGCAGUGGGGAAUAUUGCACAAUGGGCGAAAGCCUGAUGCAGCGACGCCGCGUGAGGGAUGACGGCCUUCGGGUUGUAAACCUCUUUCAGCAGGGAAGAAGCGAAAGUGACGGUACCUGCAGAAGAAGCGCCGGCUAACUACGUGCCAGCAGCCGCGGUAAUACGUAGGGCGCGAGCGUUGUCCGGAAUUAUUGGGCGUAAAGAGCUCGUAGGCGGCUUGUCACGUCGGUUGUGAAAGCCCGGGGCUUAACCCCGGGUCUGCAGUCGAUACGGGCAGGCUAGAGUUCGGUAGGGGAGAUCGGAAUUCCUGGUGUAGCGGUGAAAUGCGCAGAUAUCAGGAGGAACACCGGUGGCGAAGGCGGAUCUCUGGGCCGAUACUGACGCUGAGGAGCGAAAGCGUGGGGAGCGAACAGGAUUAGAUACCCUGGUAGUCCACGCCGUAAACGGUGGGCACUAGGUGUGGGCGACAUUCCACGUCGUCCGUGCCGCAGCUAACGCAUUAAGUGCCCCGCCUGGGGAGUACGGCCGCAAGGCUAAAACUCA